Non-coding RNA from Vicugna pacos (alpaca), 1208 nucleotides. NCBI's taxonomy places the organism in Eukaryota, Metazoa, Chordata, Mammalia, Artiodactyla, Camelidae. The record is from RefSeq and is a predicted model, not a curated record.
GUCUUUACUUCAUAUCUGGGAUGAGGGUGCAUCUGUGAUGGAGGAAACUUGGUAAAACACUUUACCCAGUGAGAAGGUAGUUUAAAUACAUGGUACCUAUUACAUUUGUGCAUUUUUCAAACAUCUGUGCAUACCAGUGGGUGCAAAACAGGAGAGAGCUGCACACAAAAUCAUCUAAAGUGAAUCCCAGUUGUCCUGAUAUGAUCUGUUUCCGAGUUCAGACUUACUGCUGAUUUAGGCUGAAAACCAGAAAUUGUGCCUGUGGCUUCUCGGGGUGGCAGUGCAUUACAAAUUUCAUGCCAUUCAAAUUCUCAGAUGUUCCAGAAGCCAUUCUCCAGGUAAUUAAAAAAGACCCAGGCUUGUUUUGGUAAAAGUGGAUCAGUGUUUCAAUGGAACGACUCUGUUAACCUCAGUGUUCAAAGAGAGAGUGGCAUUUGGUUAUUUGCCUUUUCCUUUGAAAUCUGUGUUUUCCAGAGCACUUUUUGAAGUUUGAACUCUUUUUGGUUCUUUAGAACAUUGUUUAUUGAACACCUGUUUUGGGGCCAGGCCCUGAACUAAGUUCUGGGAGAUAAUGAACUUUUUAAAAAGUUAUGGAUGGAUGGAUGGAUAUCUUACUUGCAAAGAGAUUAUUGUCUGGUGGAGGCAAGAUAAAUUCAUCUCCAUGCAGCAUGUUGAGUACUAGCAGAGGAUCCCAAAGGGAGAAUUGAACAAGUGUAUCUAGAAGGAUGAAGCAAGACCCUCAUAGUGAUGGUAAAUUUGAACUGAGUUCAGUUUUGAGAGAUGGUAAGAGUUUGCCUGGCUGAGAAGCAGAGGAAGGAUAUUGGAAGAAUGUACAAAGAAGCAGUGAAAAAAAGAAAGAAAAAGCACACAGAGUGAAUGUGAGGAACCUUUGAUGUGGCUGGCGGUGAACGCUGAGCGGGGAGGGUGUGGGUGUGGAGUAGAGUGGAUCUGGGACGAUGAAGGCGGGCCGGGCAUCGACGUGCAGUGUUUGGGCGUUAUGGUCUCUAAGAAGGGAUGAGUGAGUUCCUUGAUCAUAUUUGCUUUCAGUAAAGAAAGGGACCUUAGCGCGAGAAGAAACUUGAAAAUUGAAAGCCAGUUAAGAAGAUUUUGCAGUGGAAGUUGACCAGAGGGCCAGAGCAGAAGCUGGGACAGUGGGACAGUGAGGGGAUCACAGACACGAAUAGAGAGGAAGAGUGUCGUGUUGGGAA